Molecule: ribosomal RNA, 497 nt
Filed under: uncultured bacterium
Lineage: Bacteria
Description: partial 16S ribosomal RNA
Rfam family: Bacterial small subunit ribosomal RNA
Source: RNAcentral
GAUGAACGCUGGCGGCGUGCCUAAUACAUGCAAGUCGAGCGAACAGACGCGGAGCUUGCUCCUCUGACGUUAGCGGCGGACGGGUGAGUCACGCGUGUAUCACCUACCUAUCAGACUGGGAUAACUUCGGGAAACCGGCGCUAAUACCGGAUAAUCUCUUGAUCCGCAUGGUUCAAUAGUGAAAGACGGUUUUGCUGUCACUUAUAGCUGGAUCCGCGCUGCAUUGGCUAGUUGGUACGUUAACGGCUUACCAAGGCGACGAUGCGUAGCCGACGGGAGAGGGUGAUAGCCCACACGGGAGCGGGGACACGGUCCAGACGCCUACGGGAGGCAGCAGUAGGGAAUGUGACGCAAUGGGCGAAAGCCUGACGGAGCAGCGCCGCGUGAGAGAUGAAGGUGCUCGGAUCGUAAAACUCUGUUAUUAGGGAAGAACAAAUGUGGAAGUAAAUAUGCACGUCUUGACGGUACCUAAUCAGAAAGCCACGGCUAACUACGUG